This 1588-nucleotide long non-coding RNA is filed under the name Homo sapiens (human). RNAcentral's name for it is "HSALNT0375512". Lineage: Eukaryota; Metazoa; Chordata; Mammalia; Primates; Hominidae. The record is from RNAcentral.
ACCAGUCACCAAUUAGCGUCCUACCCUAAAGGUAGGGCCACAGUGCCAUCUGCUUUUCUUAAGGCCUCUGCUCCAUCAGCAAUAAGGUGGCAGACACUCAGGCUGUGGGAACCUGGCCAUCCCCACUUCCUCGAGCGGUUCAGGUGGUGGAUGCUCCGCCUGCACUAGGCGCACCCUUGCAGAGGUGGCUGGUUGCUCUUUGAGCCAGCUUGGACUUGCCUGGCAUGCACAGGCCCCAGCUACUGACACGCUGCUCCGAGUGAGCUUGUCCUGCCUUGGCACAAAUUUUAAGUCUCGCCAGGGCCACAGAAGGCUCAGUCCCAUGGAUGGGAAUUUUGGCUGCUUUCUGCACUUGAACGUAAAGUCCUCCUCAAGAAGGCCUGUGGUCUGCCUCUUGGCAACCAAGAAGCCUGCAGUACCGUACGACCCGAGGCAUGGACUGGAGCCCCAAAGGCAGUGCACACCCUGCUCCUGAGCCUGCUGCUCGUUUCUAUAUGGCUCCAUUUGUAGCACAGUUGUUGCACUGAAGCUUGGGCAUGCCGGCCAAGGCCAAGCUGGCUCAAAAAGCAACCGGUCACCUCUGCAAGGGUGUGCCAGGAGCAAGGGCACGAGCUACCAACUAGCAGCCGGACAUGUACAUCACUUCUUCUACCCUAAAGGUAGGGCCACAGUGCCAUCUGCUUUUCCUAAGGCCUCUGUUCCAUCAGCAAUUAGGUGGCAGCCAAUCAAGCUGUGGGAAGCUGGCCAUCCCCACUUCCUUGUGUGGCUGAGGUGCUGGAUGCUCUGCCUGCUCUAGGCGCACCCUUGCAGAGGUGGCUGGUUGCUCUUUGAGCCAGCUCGGCCUUGCCUGGCAUGCAUAGGCCCCAGCGACUGACACGCUGCUCCGAGUGAGCUUGUCCUGCCUUGGCACAAAUUCUAUGUCUGGCCAGGGCCACAGAAAGCCGAGUCCCCUGGAUGGUAAUCCUGGCUGCUUUCUGUACUUGAACGUAAAGUCCUCAUCAAGACGGCCUGUGGUCUGCCUCUUGGCAACCAAGAAGCCUGCAGUGCCAUACGACCCCUGAGGCAUGGACUGGAGCCCCAAAGGCAGCGCACACCUGGUUCCUGAGCCUGCUGCUUGUUUCCUCUCUGUGGCUCCAUUUGUAGCACAGUUGUUGCACUGAAGCUUGUGCAUGCUGGGCAAGGCCAAGCUGGCUCAAAGAGCAACCAGCCACCUCUGCAAGGGUGUGCCAGGAGCAGGUGCACCAGUCACCAACUAACGGCCAGACAUGGUUACAUCACUUCUACCCUAAAGGUGGGCCACAGUGCCAUCUGCUUUUCCUAAGGCCACUGCUCCAUCAGGAAUUAGGUGGCAGCCAAGGCAGGACAAAUUUUAAGUCUCGCCAGGGCCACAGAAGGCUCAGUCCCAUGGAUGGUAAUUUUGGCUGCUUUCUGCACUUGAACGUAAAGUCCUCCUCAAGAAGGCCUGUGGUCCGCCUCUUGGCAACCAAGAAGCCUGCAGUACCAUACGACCCGAGGCAUGGACUGGAGCCCCAAAGGCAGUGCACACCCUGCUCCUGAGCUUGCUGCUUGUUUCCUCUCUGUGGCUCCA